Molecule: ribosomal RNA, 440 nt
Filed under: uncultured bacterium
Lineage: Bacteria
Description: partial 16S ribosomal RNA
Rfam family: Bacterial small subunit ribosomal RNA
Source: RNAcentral
CCUACGGGUGGCAGCAGUGGGGAAUAUUGCACAAUGGGGGGAACCCUGAUGCAGCGACGCCGCGUGAGUGAAGAAGUAUUUCGGUAUGUAAAGCUCUAUCAGCAGGGAAGAAAAUGACGGUACCUGACUAAGAAGCCCCGGCUAACUACGUGCCAGCAGCCGCGGUAAUACGUAGGGGGCAAGCGUUAUCCGGAUUUACUGGGUGUAAAGGGAGCGCAGACGGCUGUGCAAGUCUGGCGUGAAAGGGGGGGGCCCAACCCCCGGACUGCUCUGGAAACUGUAAAGCUGGAGUGCAGGAGAGGUAAGCGGAAUUCCUAGUGUAGCGGUGAAAUGCGUAGAGAUUAGGAGGAACACCAGUGGCGAAGGCGGCUUACUGGACUGCAACUGACGUUGAGGCUCGAAAGCGUGGGGAGCAAACAGGAUUAGAUACCCGAGUAGUC